This 1937-nucleotide ribosomal RNA is filed under the name Anaerolineae bacterium. Its description in RNAcentral is "partial 23S ribosomal RNA". It matches the Rfam family "Bacterial large subunit ribosomal RNA", at positions 1 to 1893 of the family's 2925-position model. The record is from RNAcentral. Lineage: Bacteria; Bacillati; Chloroflexota; Anaerolineae.
GUGGAGAAGCUACUAAGAGCUUACGGUGGAUGCCUUGGCGCCAAGUGCCGAUGAAGGACGUGGGUCACUGCGAUAAGCCUCGGGAAGCCGUGAACAGGCGUUGACCCGGGGAUUUCCGAAUGGGGAAACCCGCUGGAGCGAACCUCCAGCAUCGCCAGUUGAACACAUAGACUGCGCGAAGGGAACCUGGGGAACUGAAACAUCUAAGUACCCAGAGGAAAAGAGAUCAUUUCCCGAGUAGUGGCGAGCGAAAGGGAAAAAGCCCAAACCAAUCCGGCUUGCUGGGUUGGGGUUGUAGGGCCUGGUAUAUGGGAGUUACAAAGUGGUUAGCUAGCAGAAUGGUGUGGGAAAGCCUACCAAAGAGGGUGAUAGUCCCGUACGCGAAAGUUAAUCGCCUCCCACCAGGUACCUGAGUACUGCCGGGCACGCUAAUCCGGCAGGAAGCUGGGGAGUCCACUCUCCAAGGCUAAAUACACUUGGCGACCGAUAGUGAACAAGUACCGUGAGGGAAAGGUGAAAAGUACCCCGUUGAGGGGAGUGAAAUAGAACCUGAAACCGUGAGCUUACAAGCAGUCGAAGGGCUAAUGGCGGGUCGGUGCUCCGGUGAAAGCCGGGUGCGCGCCGCUAUGCCUGACGGCGUGCCUCUUGGAGAAUGAGCCUGCGAGUUAAUUUCUGUGGCGAGGUUAAGGGAGUGACACCCGUAGCCGUAGCGAAAGCGAGUCUGAAUAGGGCGUUUAGUCGCAGGAAUUAGACACGAAACCGGGUGAGCUACCCAUGGCCAGGGUGAAGCGAGUCUAAACGCUCGUGGAGGCCCGAACCUACUAAUGUUACAAAAUUAGGGGAUGAGCUGUGGGUAGGGGUGAUAUGCCAAACGAACUCGGAGAUAGCUUGUUCUCCCCGAAAUAGCUUUAGGGCUAGCGUCAUGCGUUCAGUACCGGAGGUAGAGCACUGAAUGGGCUAGGGGGCUUAUUGCUUACCAAACCCAAUCAAACUCCGAAUGCCGGUACUCCAGAGCAUGGCAGUCGGACUACGGGAGAUGAGUUUCGUGGUCAAAAGGGAAACAGCCCAGAUCAUCGGCUAAGGUCCCAAAAUCCAAGCUAAGUGGGAAACGAUGUGGGGUUACUGAAACAACCAGGAGGUUUGCCUAGAAGCAGCCACCCUUUAAAGAGUGCGUAAUAGCUCACUGGUCUAGUGAUCCUGCGCGGAAAACUUAACGGGGCUAAGCUUGGUACCGAAGCCAUGGGCCUCAGCGUAAGCUGGGGCGGUAGGGGAGCGUUCUGCCAGCGGUGAAGGUCGACCGUGAGGACGGCUGGAGCGGGCAGAAGUGAGAAUGCAGGCAUGAGUAGCGUAAAACACGUGAGAACCGUGUUCGCCGUAUGUCUAAGGUUUCCGACGCCAGGUCAUUCCGCGUCGGGUUAGUCGGGCCCUUAGUCGAGGCCGAAAGGCGUAGACGAUGGACAGCCGGUCAACAUUCCGGCACCACCUGGAUGGAGCGAUGAGGGGACGCAGCGAGGUAGACCUGCCUGUUAUUGGUAUGCAGGUGCACCUGAUGUCAGACGUUGAGGUCUGUUGGAAAAUCCGCAGACUGAGUUGAGAUCAGGUGGCGAGCCCCUGAGGCAUAAGUGAGUUAAGCCUUGCUGCCGAGAAAAGCCUCUAAGCGUUGAAGUUCGGGUGCCCGUACCGCAAACCGACACUGGUAGACGGGUAGAGUAUACCAAGGCGAACGGGAGAACCUUCGUUAAGGAACUAGGCAAAAUAGCCUCGUAACUUCGGGAGAAGAGGUGCCCCUUCGUGUGAAAGUUCUCUUGAGCACAGAGGGGUCGCAGUGAAAGGGUUCUAGUGACUGGUUAACAAAACCACAGGUCUCUGCUAAGCCGAAAGGCGAUGUAUAGGGGCUGACGCCUGCCCAGUGCCGGAAGGUUAAAGGGAGAGGUUAG